UGCAUAAAUCAAGCGUUUAAGGGCGUAUGGCGGAUGCCUAGGCACUGAAAGGCGAUGAAGGACGUGGUAUACUGCGAUAAGUUUCGGGGAGCUGUAUGCGGGCUUUGAUCCGAAAAUUUCCGAAUGGGAUAACCCACCACUUUUUGUGGUACUUUAAACUGAAUUCAUAGGUUUAAAGAGCUAACCCGGAGAACUGAAACAUCUAAGUAACCGGAGGAAAAGAAAUCAAAUGAUAUUCCGUUAGUAGUGGCGAGCGAACGCGGAGAAGGCCAGUAACAAUGUUAAAAUAAUCUAAAUAGUUUGGAAAAACUAACCACAGAGGGUGAUAGUCCCGUAUGAGUAAUGUUUAACAUUGUUCUUGAGUAGAACGGGACACGUGUAAUCUUGUUUGAAUAUAGGGGGACCACCCUCUAAGCCUAAACACUCUUCAGUGACCGAUAGUGAACUAGUACCGUGAGGGAAAGGUGAAAAGAACCCCUAUUAGGGGAGUGAAAUAGAACCUGAAACCGUAUGCCUACAAACAGUCGAAGCUCUUUUUAGAGUGACGGCGUACCUUUUGUAUAAUGGGUCAGUGACUUAAUUUAUCCAGCAAGCUUAAGCCGUAAGGUGUAGGCGUAGCGAAAGCAAGUCUUAAAUGGGCGCAAGUUGUAUGAAUUAGACCCGAAAACGAAUGAGCUUACCAUGAGCAGGUUGAAAGCAGGGUAACACUUGCCGGAGGACCGAACCAGUUGACGUUGAAAAGUCUUUGGAUGACUUAUGGUAAGGGGUGAAAGGCCAACCAAAUUCGUAGAUAGCUGGUUUUCCGCGAAAACUAUUUAGGUAGUGCGUUGAGUAAAUUGAUGUUUGGAGGUAGAGCACUAAAGGGGCUAGGGGAGAGAAAUCUUUACCAACCCUCAUAAAACUCCGAAUGCCAAACAUUUUACCUCAGCAGACAGACUGUGGGUGCUAAGGUCCAUGGUCGAAAGGGAAAAAGCCCAGAUCACCAGAUAAGGUCCCUAAAUCAUGAUUAAGUGUGAAAGGAUGUGGAGAUUCCUAAACAGCCGGGAGGUUGGCUUAGAAGCAGCCAUCCUUUAAAGAUAGCGUAACAGCUCACCGGUCUAAUAGAGUUUCUGCGCCAAAGAUGUAACGGGGCUCAAAUCAUGUACCGAAUCUGUGAAUUUAUAAUUUCUUCGGAAAUUAUAUCUGGUAGCGGAACGUUCUGUAAGCCUGUAAAGGGAUACCCGUGAGGGAUCCUGGAGGUAUCAGAAGUGCGAAUGCUGACAUAAGUAACGAUUAACAGAGUGAAAAACUCUGUCGCCGAAAAUCCAAGGGUUCCUGCGCAAGGUUAAUCCGCGCAGGGUUAGUCGGUCCCUAAGACGAGGGCGAGAGCCGUAGUCGAUGGAAACAAGGUUAAUAUUCCUUGACCCGAUGGUAGUGACGGAUUUCGUAAAUUGUUAACUCUUAUUGGAUUGAGUUAGCCGUGAAGAAGUCCCAGGAAAUAGCUCCAUCAUAGGACCGUACCCGAAACCGACACAGGUGGAUUAUUAGAGUAUAAUUAGGCGCUUGAGAGAAUGAUGUUGAAGGAACUCGGCAAAAUGCCUCCGUAACUUCGGAAGAAGGAGGACCCAUUAUUAGGCAACUAUUAGUGGGUGGCACAAGCUAGGGAGAUGCGACUGUUUAUCAAAAACACAGGGCUCUGCUAACACGUAAGUGGAUGUAUAGGGUCUGACGCCUGCCCGGUGCUGGAAGGUUAAUGCGAUAGGUGCAAGCUUAUUUCUGAAGCCCCAGUGAACGGCGGCCGUAACUAUAACGGUCCUAAGGUA
This 1802-nucleotide ribosomal RNA is filed under the name uncultured alpha proteobacterium MB11D08. Its description in RNAcentral is "bacterial LSU rRNA". It matches the Rfam family "Bacterial large subunit ribosomal RNA", at positions 1 to 1958 of the family's 2925-position model. The record is from RNAcentral. Lineage: Bacteria; Pseudomonadati; Pseudomonadota; Alphaproteobacteria; Candidatus Pelagibacterales.